RNAcentral lists this long non-coding RNA (297 nucleotides) under Salvia miltiorrhiza (redroot sage). Its description in RNAcentral is "long non-coding RNA (SMIL_LNC003588)". Lineage: Eukaryota; Viridiplantae; Streptophyta; Magnoliopsida; Lamiales; Lamiaceae. The record is from RNAcentral.
ACUUAUUUAUUUUAUCAAAAAUGCUACUACUAUGUUUUAUUAAAAUAGAAAAUUAUUAAAAAAAGAAAGGAGAAAAAAAUCUAAACCCUUGAGAGCACAGAGAGCAAACUAAGGGCCGAGCCUCGUUAAAACCUCAGCCAGAGGAAAAAGAGUACUCGUCUAUAAAGAAAAAAGUGUUAAGAAGCUGAAUUAGGAGAAUCUCAGAAGCUCCGGCCGUACCAUCGCCCCUAGAAAAACCCGGCUUCACAACACAAGAGAAAACAAAAACAAAAGGAAACCAAGGACCCACAAAGUAAA